Molecule: ribosomal RNA, 352 nt
Filed under: uncultured Coriobacteriales bacterium
Lineage: Bacteria; Bacillati; Actinomycetota; Coriobacteriia; Coriobacteriales
Description: bacterial SSU rRNA
Rfam family: Bacterial small subunit ribosomal RNA
Source: RNAcentral
AGUAGUUUGAUCCGUGGCUCGAGGACGACGCUGGCGGCGUGCCUAACACAUGCAAGUCGAGCGGACUUAUCAUUGGAAAGUGCUUGCACCGGAAGAUGACAAGUUAGCGGCGGACGGGUGAGUAACGCGUGAGCAACCUGUCCUCUACAGGGGGAUAAGACCGCGAAAGUGGUUCUAAUACCGCAUGAGACCACGGUAAGGCAUCUUACAGGGGUCAAAGGAGCAAUCCGGUAGAGGGUGGGCUCGCGUCCGAUUAGAUAGUUGGUGGGGUAACGGCCUACCAAGUCGACGAUCGGUAGCCGACCUAAGAGGGUGAUCGGCCACAUUGGGACUGAGACACGGCCCAGACUCC